This 3759-nucleotide long non-coding RNA is filed under the name Pan troglodytes (chimpanzee). Its description in RNAcentral is "long non-coding RNA NONPTRT003747". The record is from RNAcentral. Lineage: Eukaryota; Metazoa; Chordata; Mammalia; Primates; Hominidae.
UUCUGGGUGCACGCCAUGACGGUGCUGAUAGGACACACAGGUGGCCCAGAGCCUCUUACUACGUCAAGACAGCGGGAGAUGCAUGCAGUAGCAAGUGCACAGAAAGUGGGCACUGGGUGGAAAGUGUUGCUUUAUAAAUAGCCAGAUCUCAAUCAUGACUAAGACGAAUGUAGAAAAAUGAUAAAAUUACCAGCCUCAAAACCUUGGUGCGUCACCGGGUUCCCCACUUCAGCUGGCUGCCCUAGCUGCACUGUACAGCUCAUUACUGGAACGUCGUCCAGGCCUGUCAUAUGCAGAGCCCUUGGGACUCACAAGACGCUCAAAUACUUACAUCCUCAGUCUGAUUCUUUCAUAUAAACUUGCAGUCGUUUUUGUGAAAAGAAAAAAUGUGUCUGAAAUAUGAGACCAAAAAUAAGCUUAAAUGAUGAGUGAUGGCAAAUUGGGGAGGCAGUCAGUUGACUCACCAUGCAGUGGAACGACUUGCUCUCUCGCUGCUGCAGGUGGGCACACUACGAGAAUUGCUCUUCUGUGUCACCUGGUCAUUGUGUUUUUUGCAUUAACUGAGGACAGAAAGGGAGGAAAAAUCUCUUUUUGUGCACAUACUCCUUUGAAUUGUAUGUUUGGCUUUUUUUGUUUUGUCAAAGGUUGCAAAACUUCCUCAAGUUGUUCAACAGCAAACACCCGUGGCCAGCAUCCAGCAAGUUGCCUCUGCUUCCCAGCAGGCUUCUCCACAGACUGUGGCGCUCACGCAGGCGACGGCGGCCGGGCAGCAGGUGCAGAUGAUCCCUGCAGUGACCGCGACUGCCCAGGUGGUUCAGCAGAAACUCAUUCAGCAGCAGGUGGUGACCACGGCGUCGGCCCCGCUCCAGACUCCAGGCGCUCCCAACCCAGCCCAGGUGCCCGCCAGCUCCGACAGCCCAAGCCAGCAGCCCAAGUUACAGAUGAGGGUCCCUGCUGUCAGGCUAAAGACACCUACUAAGCCUCCGUGCCAGUAGUCAGGGCAGCAGGGCUGCCUCUCAUCUAAAGCAAAACUACCUUCCUCACAGAAAACGCUUUAUUAGUGAACCUUGGGACCAUGUCACGCAAGAGAUUCAGCACUGGGAAAGAUAUAAUUGAAACAAAAUAGUGUAAUCAUUUUAUUAAAAUGCAUCCCACACUGCAGGACAAAUGGUCCUUAUGGAGUGCCGCAUUCUCUGUACUACGUGGCUCAUGGAAAAAGUGACAACAUGGCUUCCUCUAAAUCAUUUCACCUUUCAGUCCCCACCCGCACCCGUCCCCUAGAGCCAUAGUACUGUGUUCUGAAAGCCAUUUAGAAUUUCUUUGUGAGUAUGUAGUGCUUUGCACGCCACAGAAGCCGUCUGCCGUGUGUGAGGAGCAUACAAUGGACUUUCUAAAGAUAAGGCGUGGGCUUCCACGGUGUCUGCCAGAGUUUAGUUCUUUAUACCUUACUGAAAAAUGCCUCAUGGUCUUCGUAGAGGAGAAGACCUGUCUAAAGUAAAUCAUCCGAGAUUGGUUUUCCAUUCCAAAGAAAGGCAAUAUGGUUCCUUCCUUCCCUCCUAAAAUGUGACUUAACUUUUAAGAGAAAUGUUCUGACACCCACCUAAACACACAAGGCACGUUCCUGGCCUGUGUUCAAGGGAAAUGAUCAGUCAUUGCAUUGUUAUUCCAAAGAGCAGCCGACAGUGGCCUCCCCCAGGCCCUACCCCGCAAUGGGAUUCGCUUUCAUUUAAUGGAAACUUCUGGGACUGAUGCCCAACUCAGUGCACUCAAGACGCAUCUCCAGCUUUCGGGGGAAGCUGGUAUUUCACAUAGUGUGUUAAACAGCUCCUGAGAACCUUUGGGACACUCUGCCAUGGCUGGCAUGAGGCCCAGAGGACCACGCAGAGGCAAUGGUCGUACAGAUGUCACAGCUGAGGGUACCAUGAGGCCUGGGCUCAGUGAGCCAGGACGAAUGUGACAGACACCCCUUGCUGCCACAGUCAGCCCUUUGACGAAGGUGGGCUGGUGAUUCUGGAAGUAUUGGCUAUAGCAGUGGGCCCAGUCAACUCUUCCUUGUGGACUUACGACAGCAGAUUUUCUCUAGGAUAAGCUCGUGUGGUUCUGCCAGUGAAGCAGAGAACCACCUGUGCUGUUGUGGAAGGCGUGCCGUUGAGGGGGAAAACGAAGCCCAGUAUUUGCUACUGUUUUUCUUUUUUUUACUAUGACAAGAAAAUAAAUGCAAUUUUAGUGGAAUUGAUUGACAGUGUCUCCUUACUUUGAAGUUUUCACCAAAGCAAAAAGGUCCAUAUCCAAUAGUAUCCUUUGUGCUGUGGCUUGAUUUUGGCCUAUUUUACAUUAUUUGGUCCAGGAAAUUAGGUUAUAUUAGGUUUUUUGUAUACUAAAAAUCAGUUAUGGCACAAUAAAGAUUUUCUGUUUUUAAAUUGUAUUUCAUCUGCUUCCUCCCCAUUCUCUCACUUUAAGUGACAUUGAGGAAGGUAUUCUGUCCCACAGGUUUCUGUGGACAGCGAUACAGCAGGAGUCAGUGAAAUCAACUGGGGAGCUCACUUGAGCUCUUGAUAAGAAAUUUGGAGAAAAGUAAAAACCAAGCUUUGAAGAAACAGAAGAAAUUAAUCUUUUAGUUAGUUGAACAUACCAAAGCAGAGGACUGGAAUCUGUUUGUUCUAACCAACCCGUUCUCCCUGGCUCGGCACGUGCCAUGAGAGCGCAGCUUGCCGGAGGGAGGGCCGCUGUGUGCGCCUCACAUCUGGCUCCCAGUGGAAACUUUUACUCCUCCUCAUCCGCAGAUGUGAUAGAACUGAAGUAUCUAGGAAUUCUGCCUUUGUCAUUUGUUUUAAUUUGUGUGCCCUGUUCAUUUUUUUUGUCUUUCCCAAAUCUUGGUAGUCUCCUUAUAGUUGAAGAUAAAAUGUUGAGUGCACUUAUUUUAGAAUAUCCUAGACAUAACUAUCUAAGUAAAAGCGCUCUAUUAAUCUAAAACACUACAAGAGAAUUUAACACCAUCUCUCAAAUGCUUUUUUGGAGAGCUUAAUGGGAUUCUGAAUAUUUGCAAUGUGGAGUUUCCGCCCCGAUCUCACGUCAGUGAGGGUCUCCUGUCUCUCAAGUGUGUUUCCUUUGGCUGUUCCCUAAUACAAAACACGGACAUAUUUUUACUCGUAGCACUCAAUUUAGUAACUUCUAGAUGCUACCGUUGACCUGAGUUAAAUUCAUUUAGUCGUGUACGUAAAAACUCUCCUUUUAGUGUGUUAUUUUCUUGGCCUUCCCUUUUAAAGGUUAAAGUUUCUAACCUAAGAAUUAAGUACGCGUUCAGGAAGCUGAUGUCUAGGCCUUCCCCUUGUGAAUCUGGGUUCAUUCCAAUACGGCAAGUAAGAGUUGGAAACUUUGAGAACACAGACUAUAAAGGCAGCAGCCCGAACACUGUCAGACUCUAAUUGGCGACCCUGGGAAACAGUUGCCCUGCUAUUCUUUAAAGAAAGACGUUUAUUCUGAUGAUAAAAACAGUUAGCCAGACUGUUUUUAAAGCAUCUGGCGGGAAGCAGAAGGUUGGAUCCAAGCCCUUGUUCAGAUUUGGUGCCUGAUAAGACAGGGGUUUCUCUUUUUGUGAACUUUAUUAUUAUUAUUUUGUUAACUGUUGUAACCAGUUAGCUGUUGUGUUUUAAGAUAGAAAGGAACAAGACUAAAAUUGUAAAUACUUUGUAAACAUCAGCAUUUGUACUUGAAUAGUAGGAUUUUAAAGGGCAUUGAUAGCAUACCAAACAAAAGGCA